This 223-nucleotide long non-coding RNA is filed under the name Elaeis guineensis (African oil palm). RNAcentral's name for it is "long non-coding RNA (EGUI_LNC013923)". Lineage: Eukaryota; Viridiplantae; Streptophyta; Magnoliopsida; Arecales; Arecaceae. The record is from RNAcentral.
CCUUAUACCUGUCUCCUCAAUAGGAUAGUUCCGUCUUAGAAACAUAGAGAUCUUAAUGUCCUAGGAUUUCUAUAUAUAUAUAUAGGAGUGGAGUGGGGACCUAGUCCAAUUAGUAAUGCUAAUAAAUCUAUCCAUCACAUAGCCCAUUAGCUGAGUCAGAUCUACACCGAUAUCUACUGCAUCACAUGACCGAGAUAAUAGGACUUAAAAUAAUAUGAUCAUA